CCUACGGGAGGCAGCAGUCGGGAAUAUUGCGCAAUGGAGGAAACUCUGACGCAGUAACGCCGCGUGCAGGAUGAAGGUUUUCGGAUUGUAAACUUCUUUUGACAGGGAAGAAAAACGACACUACCUGUAGACUAUGCUCCGGCUAACUACGUGCCAGCAGCCGCGGUAAUACGUAGGGGGCACACGUUAUCCGGGGUUAUGCGGUGUAAAGGGUGCGUAGACGGAGAAGCAAGUUAGUUGCGAAAUCCCUCGGCUUAACUGAGGAACUGCAACCAAAACUACUUGCCUUGAGUACAGGAGAGGCAAGUGGAAUUUCUAGUGUAGCGGUGAAAUGCGUAGAUAUUAGGAAGAACACCAGUGGCGAAGGCGACUUGCUGGACAGUAACUGACGUUGAGGCACGAAAGUGUGGGGAGCAAACAGGAUUAGAUACCCCUGUAGUC
This 441-nucleotide ribosomal RNA is filed under the name uncultured bacterium. RNAcentral's name for it is "partial 16S ribosomal RNA". It matches the Rfam family "Bacterial small subunit ribosomal RNA", at positions 338 to 795 of the family's 1533-position model. The record is from RNAcentral.